This 263-nucleotide ribosomal RNA is filed under the name uncultured bacterium. RNAcentral's name for it is "partial 16S ribosomal RNA". It matches the Rfam family "Bacterial small subunit ribosomal RNA", at positions 81 to 339 of the family's 1533-position model. The record is from RNAcentral.
CUCGAGAUGACCUAGUGGCGAACGGGUGAGUAACACGUGGGCAAUCUGCCCGUAUGUCGUGGAUAACGGUUGGAAACGACAGCUAAUACAGGAUGAGCAUCCCGAAGGCAUCUUUGGGAUGUAAAAGGGGCUUUGGCCCCGCAUACGGAUGAGCCUGCGGUGCAUUAGCUAGUUGGUGAGGUAACGGCCCACCAAGGCGAUGAUGCAUAGCCGACCUGAGAGGGUGACCGGCCACAUUGGGACUGAGACACGGCCCAAACUCC